UCCCAGACUCCUACGGGAGGCAGCAGUGAGGAAUAUUGGUCAAUGGCCGCAGGGCUGAACCAGCCAAGUCGCGUGAGGGAUGACGGUCCUAUGGAUUGUAAACCUCUUUUGUCAGGGAGCAAAGGGCGCCACGUGUGGCGUUUUGCGAGUACCUGAAGAAAAAGCAUCGGCUAACUCCGUGCCAGCAGCCGCGGUAAUACGGAGGAUGCGAGCGUUAUCCGGAUUUAUUGGGUUUAAAGGGCGUGCAGCCGGGAGGACAAGUCAGAUGUGAAAUCCCGCGGCUCAACCGCGGAACUGCAUUUGAAACUGUUUUUCUUGAGUACCGGAGAGGUCAUCGGAAUUCCUUGUGUAGCGGUGAAAUGCGUAGAUAUAAGGAAGAACACCAGUGGCGAAGGCGGAUGACUGGACGGCAACUGACGGUGAGGCGCGAAAGCGUGGGGAGCAAACAGGAUUAGAUACCCGUGUA
RNAcentral lists this ribosomal RNA (466 nucleotides) under uncultured bacterium. Its description in RNAcentral is "bacterial SSU rRNA". It matches the Rfam family "Bacterial small subunit ribosomal RNA", at positions 329 to 792 of the family's 1533-position model. The record is from RNAcentral.